GACGAACCGUGCGAACGUUGUUCGGAAUCACUGGGCUUAAAGGGCGCGUAGGCGGGCCGGAAAGUCAGGGGUGAAAGCCCGCGGCUCAACCGCGGAAGUGCCCCUGAUACUGCCGGCCUCGAGGGGGGUAGGGGUGCGCGGAACUUCCGGUGGAGCGGUGAAAUGCGUAGAUAUCGGAAGGAACGCCGGUGGCGAAAGCGGCGCACUGGGCCCCAUCUGACGCUGAGGCGCGAAAGCCAGGGGAGCGAACGGG
This 253-nucleotide ribosomal RNA is filed under the name uncultured bacterium. RNAcentral describes it as "partial 16S ribosomal RNA". It matches the Rfam family "Bacterial small subunit ribosomal RNA", at positions 524 to 776 of the family's 1533-position model. The record is from RNAcentral.